RNAcentral lists this ribosomal RNA (1938 nucleotides) under marine metagenome. RNAcentral's name for it is "bacterial LSU rRNA". It matches the Rfam family "Bacterial large subunit ribosomal RNA", at positions 3 to 1976 of the family's 2925-position model. The record is from RNAcentral.
UCAAGUGAAUAAGCGCAUACGGUGGAUGCCUUGGCAGUCAGAGGCGAUGAAGGACGUUGUAACAUGCGAUAAGUCUCGGGGAGUUUGUAAACUAACUUUGAUCCGAGAAUUUCCGAAUGGGGAAACCCGGCUUGCAUCAGCAAGUCAUCUUGCAGUGAAUACAUAGCUGCAUGAAGCGAACCUGGGGAACUGAAACAUCUAAGUACCCAGAGGAAAAGAAAUCAACCGAGAUUCCCUUAGUAGCGGCGAGCGAACGGGGAUUAGCCCUUAAGUUAAUACAUUGUUAGUGGAACAGUCUGGAAAGUCUGGCGAUACAGGGUGAUAGCCCCGUACACGAAAACGUGUAUUAGUGAAAACGAGUAGGUCGGAGCACGUGAAACUUUGACUGAACAUGGGGGGACCAUCCUCCAAGGCUAAAUACUCCUUACUGACCGAUAGUGAACCAGUACCGUGAGGGAAAGGCGAAAAGAACCCCGGAGAGGGGAGUGAAAUAGAUCCUGAAACCGUAUGCGUACAAGCAGUGGGAGCACCUUCGUGGUGUGACUGCGUACCUUUUGUAUAAUGGGUCAGCGACUUAAUCUCAGUGGCAAGCUUAACCGAAUAGGGGAGGCGUAGCGAAAGCGAGUCUUAAUAGGGCGUUUAGUCGCUGGGAUUAGACCCGAAACCGGGCGAUCUAUCCAUGACCAGGCUGAAGGUGAGGUAAUACUUACUGGAGGGCCGAACCCACGUAUGUUGAAAAAUCCGGGGAUGAGUUGUGGAUCGGAGUGAAAGGCUAAUCAAGCUCGGAGAUAGCUGGUUCUCCUCGAAAGCUAUUUAGGUAGCGCCUCGUGUAUAACUGUUGGGGGUAGAGCACUGUUUCGGCUAGGGGGUCAUCUCGACUUACCAACCCGAUGCAAACUCCGAAUACCAACAAGUUUGAGCACGGGAGACACACGGCGGGUGAUAAGGUCCGUCGUGAAAAGGGAAACAGCCCAGACCGUCAGCUAAGGUCCCAAAAUCUAUGCUCAGUGGGAAACGAUGUGGAAAGGCACAGACAGCCAGGAGGUUGGCUUAGAAGCAGCCAUCCUUUAAAGAAAGCGUAAUAGCUCACUGGUCGAGUCGGUCUGCGCGGAAGAUUUACCGGGGCUAAGCAUAGUACCGAAGCUACGGGUUCAUACUUUAGUAUGAGCGGUAGAGGAGCGUUCUGUACGCCUGCGAAGGUGAACUGAGAAGUUUGCUGGAGGUAUCAGAAGUGCGAAUGCUGACAUGAGUAACGAUAAUGGGGGUGAAAAACCCCCACGCCGAAAAUCCAAGGUUUCCUGCGCAACGCUAAUCGACGCAGGGUUAGUCGGUACCUAAGGCGAGGCCGAAAGGCGUAGUCGAUGGAAAGCAGGUUAAUAUUCCUGCACCAGUUGUAACUGCGAUGGGGUGACGGAGAAGGCUAGAUCAGCUGACGGUUGGAAGUGUCAGUUUAAGCGUGUAGGGAGUGGACUUAGGCAAAUCCGGGUUCAUAAUUCUGAGACGUGACGACGAGAUGUUCUUCGGAACAACGAAGUGAUUAAUGCCAUGCUUCCAAGAAAAACCUCUAAGCUUCAGGUUACAAGUGGCCGUACCCCAAACCGACACAGGUGGAUGGGAUGAGAAUUCUAAGGCGCUUGAGAGAACUCGGCUGAAGGAACUAGGCAAAAUGGUACCGUAACUUCGGGAGAAGGUACGCUGCUGUUGGUGAUGGGACUUGCUCCCUAAGCUGACGGCAGUCGCAGAUACCAGGUGGCUGCAACUGUUUAUUAAAAACACAGCACUGUGCAAAAUCGUAAGAUGACGUAUACGGUGUGACGCCUGCCCGGUGCCGGAAGGUUAAUUGAUGGGGUUAGACUUAGGUCGAAGCUCUUGAUCGAAGCCCCGGUAAACGGCGGCCGUAACUAUAACGGUCCUAAGGUAGCGAAAUUCCUUGUCGGG